UACAUAAAGAGAGACCUAAGGCAACACAACACUACAUAAAGAGAGACCUAAGGCAACACAACACUACAUAAAGAGAGACCUAAGACAACACAACAUAACAUGACAACAACACGGUAGCAACACAACAUGGUAGCAGCACAAAAUAGGGUACAAACAUUAUUGGACAGACAACAGCACAAAGGGCAAGAAGGUAGAGACAACAAUACAUCACAGACAACAGCACAAAGGACAAGAAGGUAGAGACAACAAUACAUCACAGACAACAGCACAAAGGACAAGAAGGUAGAGACAACAAUACAUCACAGACAACAGCACAAAGGACAAGAAGGUAGAGACAACAAUACAUCACAGACAACAGCACAAAGGACAAGAAGGUAGAGACAACAAUACAUCACAGACAACAGCACAAAGGACAAGAAGGUAGAGACAACAAUACAUCACAGACAACAGCACAAAGGGCAAGAAGGUAGAGACAACAAUACAUCACAGACAACAGCACAAAGGACAAGAAGGUAGAGACAACAAUACAUCACAGACAACAGCACAAAGGACAAGAAGGUAGAGACAACAAUACAUCACAGACAACAGCACAAAGGACAAGAAGGUAGAGACAACAAUACAUCACAGACAACAGCACAAAGGACAAGAAGGUAGACAACAAUACAUCACAGACAACAGCACAAAGGACAAGAAGGUAGAGACAACAAUACAUCACAGACAACAGCACAAAGGACAAGAAGGUAGAGACAACAAUACAUCACAGACAACAGCACAAAGGACAAGAAGGUAGAGACAACAAUACAUCACAGACAACAGCACAAAGGACAAGAAGGGAGAGACAACAAUACAUCACAGACAACAGCACAAAGGACAAGAAGGUAGAGACAACAAUACAUCACAGACAACAGCACAAAGGGCAAGAAGGUAGAGACAACAAUACAUCACAGACAACAGCACAAAGGACAAGAAGGUAGAGACAACAAUACAUCACAGACAACAGCACAAAGGACAAGAAGGUAGACAACAAUACAUCACAGACAACAGCACAAAGGGCAAGAAGGUAGAGACAACAAUACAUCACAGACAACAGCACAAAGGACAAGAAGGGAGAGACAACAAUACAUCACAGACAACAGCACAAAGGACAAGAAGGUAGAGACAACAAUACAUCACAGACAACAGCACAAAGGACAAGAAGGUAGAGACAACAAUACAUCACAGACAACAGCACAAAGGGCAAGAAGGUAGAGACAACAAU
Oncorhynchus keta (chum salmon) is the source of this 1258-nucleotide long non-coding RNA. RefSeq lists it as uncharacterized. The record is from RefSeq and is a predicted model, not a curated record. The transcript has 3 exons. Lineage: Eukaryota; Metazoa; Chordata; Actinopteri; Salmoniformes; Salmonidae.